UAUGUUACGCCGGUCUGAACGGGAGUCGUUGAUGUUGACUAAAAUGUAAGUUCUAGCUUUCUAACAUUA
This 69-nucleotide transfer RNA is filed under the name Obscurella hidalgoi. RNAcentral describes it as "tRNA-Ile". The record is from RNAcentral. Lineage: Eukaryota; Metazoa; Mollusca; Gastropoda; Architaenioglossa; Cochlostomatidae.